Molecule: ribosomal RNA, 430 nt
Filed under: uncultured archaeon
Lineage: Archaea
Description: bacterial SSU rRNA
Rfam family: Archaeal small subunit ribosomal RNA
Source: RNAcentral
CACCGGCGGCCCGAGUGGUAACCGUUUUUAUUGGGUCUAAAGGGUCUGUAGCCGGCCAUGUAAGUCCUUUGGGAAAUCUGGUAGCUCAACUAUCAGGCUGCCAGGGGAUACUGCUUGGCUUGGGACCGGGAGAGGUGAGAGGUACCUCAGGGGUAGGGGUGAAAUCUUGUGAUCCUUGAGGGACCACCAGUGGCGAAGGCGUCUCACCAGAACGGGUCCGACGGUAAGGGACGAAAGCUAGGGGCACGAACCGGAUUAGAUACCCGGGUAGUCCUAGCCGUAAACGAUGCUCGCUAGGUGUCAGUCACGGUGCGACCGUGAUUGGUGCCGUAGGGAAGCCGUGAAGCGAGCCACCUGGGAAGUAUGGCCGCAAGGCUGAAACUUAAAGGAAUUGGCGGGGGAGCACUACAACGGGUGGAGCCUGCGGUUC